This 506-nucleotide ribosomal RNA is filed under the name uncultured bacterium. RNAcentral's name for it is "partial 16S ribosomal RNA". It matches the Rfam family "Bacterial small subunit ribosomal RNA", at positions 29 to 523 of the family's 1533-position model. The record is from RNAcentral.
AGUGAACGCUGGCGGUCGGCCUAACACAUGCAAGUCGAACGGCAGCACAGGAGAGCUUGCUCUCUGGGUGGCGAGUGGCGGACGGGUGAGGAAUACAUCGGAAUCUACUCUGUCGUGGGGGAUAACGUAGGGAAACUUACGCUAAUACCGCAUACGACCUACGGGUGAAAGAAGGGUACCUCCGGGCCUUGCGCGAUUGAAUGAGCCGAUGUGGGAUUAGCUAGUUGGCGGGGUAAAGGCCAACCAAGGCGACGAUCCGUAGCUGGUCUGAGAGGAUGAUCAGCCACACUGGAACUGAGACACGGUCCAGACUCCUACGGGAGGCAGCAGUGGGGAAUAUUGGACAAUGGGCGCAAGCCUGAUCCAGCCAUACCGCGUGGGUGAAGAAGGCCUUCGGGUUGUAAAGCCCUUUUGUUGGGAAAGAAAUCCAGCUGGCUAAUACCCGGUUGGGAUGACGGUACCCAAAGAAUAAGCACCGGCUAACUUCGUGCCAGCCGCCGCGGUAA